GGGGGCGUAUUGGCUUCGACGUGGGUAGCGAAACCUGAGGUGCAUGUCGAGGUGUAGUUUCCUCGUAAAUCUGACUACAACACUAUAGUUGCCAACGACGACAACUACGCCCUAGCUGCUUAAUAACCAGCAUAGUGCCCUCGGCCUGAUGUGUGCUUAUACGCUCAGAUAACCGGGGUCGACUCAUAUAAGAUCGCGAUGAAGCAUGUUCGGUGUGGAUUCGUUAAAACUUAUCCGAACUCGCUCUACGUUUUCCCUGUCUAUCGGGUAAUGUAGGGCUAAAUUAAUAGAUAGAAUAAACAUGUAGAGCCGAAGGCAGAGUACUUGCGGACGCGGGUUCAACUCCCGCCGCCUCCACCA
RNAcentral lists this transfer-messenger RNA (360 nucleotides) under Gammaproteobacteria (g-proteobacteria). RNAcentral's name for it is "SMWN01 sp003645215 Standard tmRNA". It matches the Rfam family "transfer-messenger RNA". From Rfam's summary of the family: Bacterial tmRNA, also known as 10Sa RNA or SsrA, is named for its dual tRNA and mRNA-like properties. Its role is to liberate the mRNA from a stalled ribosome. To accomplish this part of the tmRNA is used as a reading frame that ends in a translation stop signal. Lineage: Bacteria; Pseudomonadati; Pseudomonadota. RNAcentral also lists the same sequence under 2 other names. The record is from RNAcentral.